This 254-nucleotide ribosomal RNA is filed under the name uncultured bacterium. Its description in RNAcentral is "partial 16S ribosomal RNA". It matches the Rfam family "Bacterial small subunit ribosomal RNA", at positions 524 to 776 of the family's 1533-position model. The record is from RNAcentral.
UACGAGGGGGGCAAAUGUUGUUCGGAAUCACUGGGCGUAAAGGGCGCGUAGGCGGUCGUGACAAGUCACUUGUGAAAUCUCCGGGCUUAACUCGGAACGGUCAAGUGAUACUGUCGGACUAGAGUACAGAAGGGGCAACUGGAAUUCUCGGUGUAGCGGUGAAAUGCGUAGAUAUCGAGAGGAACACCUGCGGCGAAGGCGGCUCACUGGCCCGGUACUGACGCUGAGGCACGAAAGCGUGGGGAGCAAACAGG